This 497-nucleotide ribosomal RNA is filed under the name uncultured bacterium. RNAcentral describes it as "partial 16S ribosomal RNA". It matches the Rfam family "Bacterial small subunit ribosomal RNA", at positions 28 to 507 of the family's 1533-position model. The record is from RNAcentral.
GAUGAACGCUGGCGGCGUGCCUAAUACAUGCAAGUCGAGCGAACAGACGAGGAGCUUGCUCCUUCGACGUUAGCGGCGGACGGGUGAGUAACACGUAGGUAACCUACCUAUAAGACUGGGAUAACUUCGGGAAACCGGAGCUAAUACCGGAUAAUAUUUCGAACCGCAUGGUUCGAUAGUGAAAGAUGGCUUUGCUAUCACUUAUAGAUGGACCUGCGCAGUAUUAGCUAGUUGGUAAGGUAACGGCUUACCAAGGCAACGAUACGUAGCCGACCUGAGAGGGUGAUCGGGCCCACGGGAACUGAGACAAGGUCCAGACUCCUACGGGAGGGAGCAGUCGGGAAUCUUCAGCAAUGGGCGAAAGCCUGACGGAGCAACGCCGAGUGAGGGAUGAAGGUCUUCGGAUCGUAAAACUCUCUUAUUAGGGACGAACAAGCGUGUAAGUAACUGUGCACGUGUUGACGGUACCUAAUCAGAAAGCCACGGCUAACUACGUG